UGGGGAAUUUUGGACAAUGGGCGAAAGCCUGAUCCAGCCAUGCCGCGUGAGUGAAGAAGGCCUUCGGGUUGUAAAGCUCUUUCAGCCGGAAAGAAAUCGCGCAGGCUAAUACUCUGCGUGGAUGACGGUACCGGAAGAAGAAGCACCGGCUAACUACGUGCCAGCAGCCGCGGUAAUACGUAGGGUGCGAGCGUUAAUCGGAAUUACUGGGCGUAAAGCGUGCGCAGGCGGUUAUAUAAGACGGAUGUGAAAUCCCCGGGCUCAACCUGGGAACUGCGUUUGUGACUG
Molecule: ribosomal RNA, 288 nt
Filed under: uncultured prokaryote
Description: partial 16S ribosomal RNA
Rfam family: Bacterial small subunit ribosomal RNA
Source: RNAcentral